UGGGGAAUAUUGCACAAUGGGGGAAACCCUGAUGCAGCGACGCCGCGUGGGUGAAGACGGCCUUCGGGUUGUAAAGCCCUGUCUUCGGGGACGAAUAAUGACGGUACCCGAGGAGGAAGCCACGGCUAACUACGUGCCAGCAGCCGCGGUAAUACGUAGGUGGCGAGCGUUGUCCGGAAUUACUGGGUGUAAAGGGAGCGCAGGCGGGGGUCUAAGUUGGAUGUGAAAUGCCGCAGCUCAACUGCGGAGCUGCAUCCAAAACUGGAUUUCUUGAGUGGGGUAGAGGUAGGCGGAAUUCCUAGUGUAGCGGUGAAAUGCGUAGAUAUUAGGAGGAACACCAGUGGCGAAGGCGGCCUACUGGGCCCUAACUGACGCUGAGGCUCGAAAGCGUGGGGAGCAAACA
This 403-nucleotide ribosomal RNA is filed under the name uncultured Eubacteriales bacterium. RNAcentral's name for it is "uncultured Clostridiales bacterium partial 16S ribosomal RNA". It matches the Rfam family "Bacterial small subunit ribosomal RNA", at positions 355 to 774 of the family's 1533-position model. The record is from RNAcentral. Lineage: Bacteria; Bacillati; Bacillota; Clostridia; Eubacteriales.